RNAcentral lists this ribosomal RNA (355 nucleotides) under uncultured bacterium. RNAcentral's name for it is "partial 16S ribosomal RNA". It matches the Rfam family "Bacterial small subunit ribosomal RNA", at positions 338 to 691 of the family's 1533-position model. The record is from RNAcentral.
CCUACGGGUGGCAGCAGUGAGGAAUAUUGGUCAAUGGACGCGAGUCUGAACCAGCCAAGUAGCGUGAAGGAUGACGGUCCUAUGGGUUGUAAACUUCUUUUAUAGGGGAACAAAACACGGCAUGUAUACCCUUCUGUGUGUACCCUAUGAAUAAGCAUCGGCUAACUCCGUGCCAGCAGCCGCGGUAAUACGGAGGAUGCGAGCGUUAUCCGGAUUUAUUGGGUUUAAAGGGUGCGCAGGCGGAUGAUCAAGUCAGCGGUAAAAGUGAGCGGCUCAACCUGUAAGAGGCGGUGAAACCUGUGUGCUUGAGUGAGCGUGAAGGAGGCGGAAAUCGUGGGUGAGGGGGGAAAUGACU